This is a long non-coding RNA of Suncus etruscus (white-toothed pygmy shrew), 878 nucleotides long. RefSeq lists it as uncharacterized. Lineage: Eukaryota; Metazoa; Chordata; Mammalia; Eulipotyphla; Soricidae. The record is from RefSeq and is a predicted model, not a curated record. The transcript is spliced from 5 exons.
AGUGUUGGGGACCGAUGCAUCCGAGAUUGUAUUCUACCAAAAUUAUGAAUAAAUAGUGAAUGUUUUUGAAGAACCCACAUUUUAAGGAAUAGAUCAGCACAAAGACCACACCACCCAAUCAAAUAAAUUAAGAUUGAUUAUCGAAGAAAGGAAGAAGGAAAAAUGGCAUGGCAUCAGAAAAAAUUCCUGAUACUAGGGAAUUUCUUAAUUCAUGAAUCUUAACUUCAAACAGUAUAUUAAAAGUUGGAAGAAAGAACAAAAUGACAUGACAAUUUUGAAGAAAAAAAACAUGCCUUAUGUGUUGUACUGAUGACUUGCUAAAGCUCUGGAACUGGAUGAAUAUGAGAAUGUUCACUGUCUAGUAAUAUUUCUCUCAAUGAUUAAAUUACUUUGCAAGUUGGAAAGAAUUGAGUUUCUUCUAUGCAAGACACCAAUUAGAAGAUCUUUUUAAAAUAGAUUCUUCCAUGAAAGUGCAAGGCAUGACCACGUGGAUGAGAGGAUGCUGGACACCUUCUACAGUGGUGCCUUUUCAGCAUCGCUUCAGUGCUCAUUUCUUCCUUCUGGACUUUUUGUAUUGGUAUCUGAAAGGAAAGAUCCUUUAUAGAUGUGCUAUAAAUUAGUUAAGAGAAGUGACCUGCUUUCUGUCAAGUAACUCUGGAAUCUUGAGUACUUUUCUCUGCUUUCCCAUGUGUUUAAUGGCAUUUCCCCCAUGUCUAUUUGUACUUUAGAAAGGGUGGUGUUUUGAUUUGGUAAAUGACAUGAUUGCAGCCAUCUGUGUACCAUGGUAUGCUUAGAUAAUUGGCAAAUGCUCACAUAUAUUCAGUACAUCUACUUGUGGUACCAUUUCAUGACAACUUUUUCUGGUUUGAAUUAUAGUC